AACGAACGCUGGCGGCAUGCCUAACACAUGCAAGUCGAACGGGACCUUCGUGUCUAGUUGCGCACGGGUGCGGAACGCGUGGGAACCUUCCCGUAGGUUCCGAAUCACUCCCCGUAGGGGGUGCUAAUACCGGGUAAUGUAUUCGCACCAAAGAUUUAUCGCCGUUGGGUGGGCGCGGGUUGGAUUAGCUAGUUGGUAGGGUAAAAGCCGACCAAGGCGACGAUCCUUAGCUGGGCUGAGAGGAUGAUCCCCCACACUGGGAGUAGGACACGGCCCAGACUCGUAGGCGAGGGGGGAGAGUGGAAUACAGGGCAAUGGGGGAAGGUAUGACCACGCAAUGCCGCGUGAGUGAUGCAGGCGUUAGGGUAGUAAAGCUCUUUUACACGGGAUGAUAAUGACAGUACCGGGAGAAUAAGCACCGGCUAACUCCGUG
RNAcentral lists this ribosomal RNA (433 nucleotides) under uncultured bacterium. RNAcentral describes it as "partial 16S ribosomal RNA". It matches the Rfam family "Bacterial small subunit ribosomal RNA", at positions 29 to 507 of the family's 1533-position model. The record is from RNAcentral.